CACUUACUGCGAUGGGCGGGAGAAUGUGGUUUUCAUUCCAAGAGGCCGCUGUUUUUCCUGUAGACAGUGGGUAGAACAAUUAGCAGCAAGAAGCACCCUGCUGCAAGCUUGCCUGUGUGAUGAGGUGGAGAGGCACUGAAUGCCCCUUCCUCGUCACUGUGCUCACUUUGGUGGAGGCUUAUCAUGAUCGACUAGGACAAUUUUCUAGCAUGUCUGCACCGAAUCUCUUCCCGAUAGAAUUGAAGGUGAACUCAGGGCAGCAUGGAGUGCCCACCUGGCCUCCUCCCAGUGUGUCUGCGUCUCCGCUUAGUCUCCGAAUGGACAGUAAGAACACCUGUGCUACCCGUGAGCAGCCAGCACAAUGUAUUCUGACAUCAAACAGCUCCUUAGAAAGUCUGGGAACCCUGCCAUGAGACGUCAUGCAAAUCCAGUUGAGAGUCCUUUGUCUCUUAUGAUUCUAAACAAAAGUACCACCUUCUUCAGGGAAAGUGGAAUUGACCCACCCUGUGACCGGCAAGUGCCCGCUGGAGGGCACCUUCCCUGGGGGGUAGUUUAGUUUUCCUUUCAAUGCCGUGAACAGUUUCACUUCCGAUUAAGCACCAAAGCAAAAGAUAUACAGAAAUAGUUCAUUUGGAAGAGGAUGGAGUCAAAUCAGCUGUUUUUCUUUUUAUUAUACUUACUAUAAUUUAAAAAAAUCCUAAAUGAAGGCGACAUGGAGAGAUUUCCUCCUGUUAGGGACGGGCCUGACAUCGCGCAUCUCAGGUCUUCUGUGCAGGCAGAAUCCACGGCGAAGACGUGCCUUGUUCAUCACCUGUGCAGAGAACGAAGAAAGCAACCUUCAUGCUUCCCUUUCUCACUAGAAAAACAAAAGCAUGAGUCUGGAAUCUAUGCAACGUGAUAUUGUUUUAGAAACUGCGGAAAUUUCUGUUUCUAUUCUGGGGUGUUUUCCAAGCACCACGAUGGUAGCACAACGCUCACCUGCCCCAGCUUGAUUCGUCAGAUUUCACCAGCUCACUGCACAGGAUGCAUAGGUGGUGCACAACAGCGUGUGCAGCUUACUGCUUAUAAAUCAACUAGCUUGCUCAUAAGACACCGUUACUGCAGACUUUUUAAUCUCUCUUACCCUACCCCUGGGAAAAGGACUGGUAAGUGUAACGUUCAUGAAGUAUCUUGCAUAGGCAAGGAUUUACUCAAAUGCCAAACUCAACUUAAACCUGAGUUUUUCAAUGCUAAGCAUUGGGAGGCCUGAACCAGCUCCUAUCUGAGGCAGCAUUAACAUGCUUGCCCUUCAUACUAAGAGAAAUAUUCACUUUCUCUAGGGAUGAGGAGUGGUUAGCAGAAGGAAAUCAAACUUUUCUGGAAAUGAUUUCAGCAUAUUCAUCUUGUAAGAAUGUCUUCUGAUAUAAUGCUUAAAAAAACAAGUGAAUGUGAGAGUUGCUUUACACAAUUCCCCCUGGGUUUUAGGAAUUUCACCAAAUACAGUCUGGGGACCUGGAGUCUUUCUGCCUGGUCAGUCCUGGAGGUGGAAUCUGGAAACAGCCUUGGAUCGCAGCCUUCCACUGCUGGGCUCGGCCCUCCAUUGGGUCCCCCCUUCACCCCACGCCCUUUCCCAGAGGCCUCCUGCUUCUGGAACCGGAAAUGUUCAUUUUGGUGGGGCCGUGAUUGGUGGGCUCAGAGCCAGAAUUUCCCAUCUCAACUGCCCUUUGAAAGACAACGGCAAGAGGGACCCAGGUGACAUGGAACAGAGCUGUGUGCCUGCCAGGGAGAAAGUCUAUGUACAAGGAAUGCUGUGAGCCAUCUCCGCUUCCAGUGGGCAAGACCAGAAGUCACCUGAACUGUGAACCUGGUGGGUCCUCUGGCCUCUGCCUCUCAGCCACUCUUUUGUGAAGAGUAAAUGAAACAGCUUCUGCACAGAGCCCAGCGCUAUGCUGGGUGCAUCAUACACAUUUCAGAAAAUGUACCCUGACCACAGCAUGAGCCAUGGUGCCCACAGAAAACACAGAGUGUGCCCGGUGGGACCUUCAGAAAUGGGCGGAGUCCCCUUUGCCUCUCCCCAGUCUCUGCAUCCGUUCCCAUUGGGCGUGUUAUCGGAUGAACGCAGAGGGCUGAAGCGCUCUGGCUUUUCAUUGUGGGUUUUUGAGCCAAUGUAAAGACAUUUGUUCCCAUGGACCCUGGAUUUUCAGAGACACCCAGAUAUCAGGAGCGGCACAGCUGGCGUUCUGUGGAAAGUCAUACCAAUUAUUUAUGAUCUAAUGCUUUUAGAUUAGAAAAAUCAACAAUAUCACAUCUGGGGAAAUAGUUGUUAUGGUCCACUGUGUGAUAAAAAAUACAAAUGAUCCAAGAUCCUAAGAAAUAUAAUAUUCAAUAAACAGGAUGUCUGCAUUCUAGUGUUUUCUUUCAAUUUAUGUUAAGGCCUUUGUGGAAUCAAUGUGACUUGGUGUAGAGAUGGGUUGCCCCCACUGUCAAUCACUUUCAAGAGCUUUGCUACCUCCUCCUCCCAGCCUCUCCUCCUAGGAAGCAUCUGAAGCUCCUGGGGCUCCCUGGAGGCAGGUGCACAGCCUGGACCCCCAGGACAGGUAGUGGUGCCAUGUUUCCAGCCCAUCUCCUUCCUAUAAUUACAAGUAGA
Molecule: long non-coding RNA, 2626 nt
Filed under: Homo sapiens (human)
Lineage: Eukaryota; Metazoa; Chordata; Mammalia; Primates; Hominidae
Description: HSALNT0116933
Source: RNAcentral